GAUUGCUGAGCUGGGGCUCUGGCGGCAGGGGCUACCUCCCUUGGUGUAUGCACACUGGGGAUCGGGUUUGCACAGAAAGGCUGAAAACCUGGGCCCCACAGUCUUGGGCCAUGGUCCCAGACACAGGCGGAGGGCAUGCCAGGCACCCAUCCUUAGGGUUACACCCACCUCUCUGCGCCAGGUACCCAUCCUUAGGGUUACACCCACCUCUCAGCCAGACAGGUGACAAAGAGUCAGAGGGAGAACAUCUUGCUUUUUCUUGGAAUCACUUCCCGGCUGUCCUGGGAGACAGGUUGCUGCAGAUUUCCUGGGCUCCUGACGUCAGAGCUGGGUUAUUAUUAGCCAAGGUUCCUCUGCGCAGUGGCUGGCCCACGGUGGGGUGCGGCUGUGGGGCUUUCCCUGAACACGGGAGGCAGCAUGGUGCUCCAGGUUAGCUUAGAGGAGCCGUGGAGCAGGGCAUCCGCUGUCAGGCACCCGGCACCAGCCUUGCAGUGGGCUUCACAUAGGACAUGCCCAGGGCAUAUCGGGGACCAGGCAUUUCUCAUUCCCAGAGCACAUCUUCUCGGCUCAGGCCGAACCAGCACACAAACCUGUUUUGUUCUUUGCUGUGUGUGGUUUUUUUUUAGUGUAAUAAUUGUAUGUCGUUGGAAAGACAUGUUCUCAGCGCUCCCCUGUCAUACCCCUGCUGCCCUGCUCAGCUGGUCCUCAUCCCUCCACGCUCCCAUUACCUGCCUCCUGCCAAGGUCACCCGCUGUCCUUUGGAGAGGUGUGGGCUGUGUACAGCAGUGGGACCCGCCUGUGGGGUGGAACAGCAGGCCCCUGGGAGGAAACGGGACUGUGGUGCGCUUGAUUUCCCUUGCCCUCCCCCGGCCUCCCGCUCCCGGGUGUGUGUGUCAGGGGAUAGGAGCUUUGAAAGGGAGACAAGAUCCUGUUGUCCUCCUGGAGUCUGCCUCCCUAUCAGGAUUCCUUUUCUAGCGACCCACACACCUGCUGGUCUGAGUGCCCAGGGUACUUGUCAGGUCCUGGAACGACCUCUACCCCCAUCCUUAAUGCGGGCAUGUGCAAUGUGUGCCCCCGGGCCCAGGGAGUGAACACCCACGAGCGUGUGUGUGUGUGUGUGUACAGGUGUGGAUACACACAGGCCCCGGGCUCCUUGGGGCACACGAGGGCCUUCUCUGCCCCUGGGCCUCAUGGGUAUCAUGCCCCCAGCAGAGUGGAGUUAAAUAACCCGGUAUCCUGAGAGAACGGCUAGCUGCUCCUCUGCCUGUCACAGCAGGUCACCUCCUCCAUCUCCUGUCCAGUUUAACCCAAACCUGCCCCAUGCUUGCCUCUCAAGCUUAGGAUUUCUCCCAGAUCUCAUGAUUCUCAAACUCUGGUUCUAGAACAAUGGGUAUUUGUUGUAGAACAAGAUACACUUGCCUCACUGUGUUUCCUACCUGAGGCUUCACUUGUCUCACUGUGUUUCUUACCUCAGCGUUCCUGGUAGCACAGUUUGGAAAAGGGUGAGGUAGAAAAAGUUAUCCUUUUUGGCAUUCUUGGCUAUAAUCCCGUGUGGGUGUUUCAAAGAGGGCCGUCUGCCUUUUGGAGGGAGGGGGGUCCCAGCCACGUGGGAUGCUUCUUUGGCUGUUUUCCCUCUGGGAGUUGGAGCCCAGAGAGGAGAGCUUGAGGGGACCAAAGCCUCCCGCGCUGCGUCUGCUCUGCCAACCUCCUGCCAAAUUCCAAGAUCUGAGGAAAGUUUAUUCAUCUUGCUUUCUCAGGGGAGCCCUGAUUUCUCUUACCCCAGGUCCAGCAUCCUCAUCCAGGGGCCGGGUGGGUGAUCAAUAUGUGCAGGACACGAGGGAGGGGCUGGGCCUUGUCUGCACAGCCUGUGAAGGGCUUCCUUUCCAAUCUGAAAAACAAAACGCCACACUGGUGAUGAAUUGGGCCUGCAGACUGCCCCCCGAGUGCUAAAGCCACCAAUUGAAGAGUCACAGAAUUUUCAACACCCUGGUGUUCAAAUGCUAAAGCCCUGGUAUUAUCAUACCCAGUUUCCAAGGUCUUUCAGACCACACAUGCAGAAUCUUAGCUUUACAAAAUCUUAGCUAACGUUAUAUGUUAAAUAAGGACCAUGUCAGGACGCCUAUGUGUACCAUCUGAAACAGUCUCAAGCUUUAAGGUCAAAAGCAAACAAAAAGCAAACAAAAGCUCUCAUCUCAUCUACUUUUUUAACUCCAAAAAAAGAAAAAACUUUUAAGGCUAUGGCACUCCUAGGUAUUUCCUCAAAUGAGUUCAACACACCUGUCCACACAAACAAACAUCUAUAUGUAGAUGUUACAGCAGCUGUGUCCAUGACUGCGAGAACCUGAAAGCACCCAAAAUGCCUUCCAGCAGGUGAAUGGAUAAAUAAACUGUGGAAUGCCAGACAAUGGAGUGUUAUUCAGCACUAAAAAGAAACGAGCUAGUAGACCACGAAGAGAAAGGGGGAACUUUAAAUGCAUGUGAGUGAGAGAAGCCCAUAUGAAGAGGCUGCACACUGCAUGAUUCCAACUACAGGACAUU
Chlorocebus sabaeus (green monkey) is the source of this 2538-nucleotide non-coding RNA. The record is from RefSeq and is a predicted model, not a curated record. NCBI's taxonomy places the organism in Eukaryota, Metazoa, Chordata, Mammalia, Primates, Cercopithecidae.